GGUGGGUCAGUAACCAGACAGAAUCCCAAAGGAGGACACAGAAGCUCCAAGAGGGGCAGUGACGCCAUUGUGGGCCCUCAACAGGGCAGCCUUCGUGCCAAGGACUUAAAUCCAGAAAAAUGUUCCUGUACACGCACCCGGAGGCUUUUGCAGGAGGCGGCUGUUGGAGAACCUGGAAAACAAGCCAAGAAACAAGAGAGAGGAAAAAGACCACGCCUCGCCUGGCAGAUUCCUAAUGGCCCAGGAGACCUGAGGCUUUACAAAAGAACCCUUCCCAGCCCCUGCCAUGAGCCUGGACUUGCUCUGCUGGCAGUGGAAGGAAUGUGGCUCUGGCCGCCACAGCUGCUGGUGGCCAGCUGCGGCUUCAGCUCCUGCUGCUCCCACCCCAGUAGGCAAAGGGACAAAGGCCUCUUCUUAGGCUUGUCCCUUUGGAUCAGUGGGGGCAGAGAAUCCACAGAGAAUCCACCAGGAGGCUUGGCCACUGACCAGCUAAUAACUUAGCUGUUCCCCUCUGGACCUCAGUGCCCUUUCUGGAAAAUGGGGACAGAGUAUUUGCCUGACUUAUUUCUUGGCAUUGUCUUCCAAAGGGGGGAAGUUACAGAAGUGCACUCCUCCCUGCACCUCCUUCUGCUUGAGGGUAGAGGGUCUGCCUACUUAGAGACCUCUCUGCCUCAAAUUCCCCUCCCUACCUCAUGCUAUACCUAGCCAACCCCUACUCACUCAGCUCAGCUCAGCUCAGCUCAGCAGGACCAUCCCCUACUCUGGGGAGCCUGCCCUCACCUCAAGACUGUGCUGC
This is a long non-coding RNA of Phyllostomus hastatus (greater spear-nosed bat), 796 nucleotides long. RefSeq lists it as uncharacterized. Lineage: Eukaryota; Metazoa; Chordata; Mammalia; Chiroptera; Phyllostomidae. The transcript has 3 exons. The record is from RefSeq and is a predicted model, not a curated record.